UCUUUGCUGAAGGCUCCACAAUACAGAUUCAUUUGUCUUUUUAGGCAUUGAUGCAACUGCAAUUUAAAUGUGGGUGGCUGCACACCCAUAACUGCGUUGUGUGACAUGGGAAUGUAUAGCCAUACCAGGUGGAGAAGAGGGGACGAACCCUUACCAUACCCCAGGUAAUUUGCACCCACAGUAUUAAGCUUGAUUUGAGUUGUUUUACCACUGCCUGUCCAUCAGUCCUUACCUUAUUCCUAAUGCAAUGUACCACCUGAACAUGAGGUGCUGGAGGCUAUAAGCGCCCCUGAGCUACAGCGUUCUCCUUAGAGGUGCACGGCAGGGUCAGCAGCAGCGCCUGGAACCCAUCAGUUGUGCCUCGCAGCAGCAGAGCCCCGUAUGAAGGUGCUGUGUCAAGAAGCAGCAAGAUCAGAGCCCUUUUAAAGGAGACCUGGAAUGGAAGGAAGUGUAUUUGUCCCUUUUGGGGGGGAUAAAAAGGCCUCAGAAAAUCCUUUUCUUUCUUCCUAUAACAAGUUUUGCCUUCCUUGUUUCUGCUGGAGGUUUAUAGCAUCCUUUUAACCACCUGAAAGAUUUUGAGCUAAAAUGAAGGGAAUGAUGGCCUGAGUCUCUAAAAAGAUAAUCCUCCUCAUCUGUUCAUCAGGUAUUGGUUAGAAACGUACAAAAGUAUAUUCAAAAUAAUCUCAGCUGAAAGUAGCUCCCUUGAUGCUGGAUUCUUAAUGCCAUUCAGGCCAUCUACUGAACUUCUAAAAAUAUGUAUGUUUUAUGGAUGAAAGCUACUGAACACAUUUUUAUGAACUGUUUGUCCUUCAAUUUGUUGUAAGAUAGUACUUCCACUUAAUAUUCCUGUAAUGUUCUUGUAGCCUUACUCAAAACAUACCCUUCUGCACUGAUUUUGCUAGGAACAUUCUACCAGCCUUUAUGCUGAUUAAGACAAUAAACUCGAAGCAUUCCUUGUCUCAUUGGAA
This is a long non-coding RNA of Oxyura jamaicensis (ruddy duck), 968 nucleotides long. RefSeq lists it as uncharacterized. NCBI's taxonomy places the organism in Eukaryota, Metazoa, Chordata, Aves, Anseriformes, Anatidae. The transcript has 2 exons. The record is from RefSeq and is a predicted model, not a curated record.